GUCCACGCCCUAAACGAUGUCGACUAGGUGUUGGGGAAGGAGACUUCCUUAGUACCGCAGCUAACGCGUGAAGUCGACCGCCUGGGGAGUACGGUCGCAAUAUUAAAACUCAAAGGAAUUGACGGGGACCCGCACAAGCGGUGGAUGAUGUGUAUUAAUUCGAUGCAACGCGAAAACCUUACCUACCCUUGACAUGUCAGGAAGUCCGCCGAGAGGUGGAUGUGCCCGAAAGGGAACCUGAACACAGGUGCUGCAUGGCUGUCGU
Molecule: ribosomal RNA, 265 nt
Filed under: uncultured bacterium
Lineage: Bacteria
Description: partial 16S ribosomal RNA
Rfam family: Bacterial small subunit ribosomal RNA
Source: RNAcentral